UAACCCAACAGCUGGGUUGAGCCUGUUGGGUCAUUUUGUUGGGUUAUUUUCUUAGUGUUGGGUCAUUUUUUGAGUAACCCAAACGCUGGGUUACCAGUCUGGUCCAAUUGAGUGACAGUUGAGAGAGUAAACCCCUCCCACUCCUCGACGCAUCAGACAAACUUUACCUUCGCGGGCAUUUUGAUCCACUUCAUCUCGGAAAGCUGUUAAUCGAAGAAUAAAAGCGUGCAGAAUAACAGCUAAUAUUAAUGGAUCAUUCUAUUCAAGAGAAUGUCAACUGGAACGUGGAUGUUUUCAUAACAGGCUUAAAGAUGAACAAAUUGAUAAAGAAACCCUCCUGCUGAACAUCGGUUUCCAAAAGUGCACACCACACUGUUGUCUACAACUCCCAGGAAAAGAAUCCUCUUUAGUAAGACUGCUCCGUGGAUAUGUCAGGUUAAGCAGUGCUGAAACCGAAAGAACUAACGCUCUUUAAAAUGUUUUGUGAGUUUAUAUGAAGAGGAAAGUUACGGUGUCCCUUUUUCACAUCCAUAACGCUUGUUUAUUUCUUUUUUUAUAGAAAACUUGUGCAUAGACUUAUAUUUUAUCAUAUAAAUGCGGUUCUAUCAACAAGGGUUUAGUAAAAUACUUUUUAUAGUGUUUUGAAGUGUUAAGUUGUCUAACUAUUUAUAUUUACUUGUGCCACUUUAAUAACCUUGUUAAAUGUAUAUGUUAAAAUCUAAACUAAUGUAAUUUAUUGAAGUUACUUUUCUUUAAAUAUGUAUAAACAUACAUUUC
Molecule: long non-coding RNA, 777 nt
Organism: Triplophysa dalaica
Lineage: Eukaryota; Metazoa; Chordata; Actinopteri; Cypriniformes; Nemacheilidae
Exons: 3
Source: RefSeq, a predicted model, not a curated record